RNAcentral lists this ribosomal RNA (1503 nucleotides) under Klebsiella pneumoniae. RNAcentral's name for it is "bacterial SSU rRNA". It matches the Rfam family "Bacterial small subunit ribosomal RNA". Lineage: Bacteria; Pseudomonadati; Pseudomonadota; Gammaproteobacteria; Enterobacterales; Enterobacteriaceae. The record is from RNAcentral.
AGAGUUUGAUCAUGGCUCAGAUUGAACGCUGGCGGCAGGCCUAACACAUGCAAGUCGAGCGGUAGCACAGAGAGCUUGCUCUCGGGUGACGAGCGGCGGACGGGUGAGUAAUGUCUGGGAAACUGCCUGAUGGAGGGGGAUAACUACUGGAAACGGUAGCUAAUACCGCAUAACGUCGCAAGACCAAAGUGGGGGACCUUCGGGCCUCAUGCCAUCAGAUGUGCCCAGAUGGGAUUAGCUAGUAGGUGGGGUAACGGCUCACCUAGGCGACGAUCCCUAGCUGGUCUGAGAGGAUGACCAGCCACACUGGAACUGAGACACGGUCCAGACUCCUACGGGAGGCAGCAGUGGGGAAUAUUGCACAAUGGGCGCAAGCCUGAUGCAGCCAUGCCGCGUGUGUGAAGAAGGCCUUCGGGUUGUAAAGCACUUUCAGCGGGGAGGAAGGCGNUCGAUUGACGUUACCCGCAGAAGAAGCACCGGCUAACUCCGUGCCAGCAGCCGCGGUAAUACGGAGGGUGCAAGCGUUAAUCGGAAUUACUGGGCGUAAAGCGCACGCAGGCGGUCUGUCAAGUCGGAUGUGAAAUCCCCGGGCUCAACCUGGGAACUGCAUUCGAAACUGGCAGGCUAGAGUCUUGUAGAGGGGGGUAGAAUUCCAGGUGUAGCGGUGAAAUGCGUAGAGAUCUGGAGGAAUACCGGUGGCGAAGGCGGCCCCCUGGACAAAGACUGACGCUCAGGUGCGAAAGCGUGGGGAGCAAACAGGAUUAGAUACCCUGGUAGUCCACGCCGUAAACGAUGUCGAUUUGGAGGUUGUGCCCUUGAGGCGUGGCUUCCGGAGCUAACGCGUUAAAUCGACCGCCUGGGGAGUACGGCCGCAAGGUUAAAACUCAAAUGAAUUGACGGGGGCCCGCACAAGCGGUGGAGCAUGUGGUUUAAUUCGAUGCAACGCGAAGAACCUUACCUGGUCUUGACAUCCACAGAACUUUCCAGAGAUGGAUUGGUGCCUUCGGGAACUGUGAGACAGGUGCUGCAUGGCUGUCGUCAGCUCGUGUUGUGAAAUGUUGGGUUAAGUCCCGCAACGAGCGCAACCCUUAUCCUUUGUUGCCAGCGGUUCGGCCGGGAACUCAAAGGAGACUGCCAGUGAUAAACUGGAGGAAGGUGGGGAUGACGUCAAGUCAUCAUGGCCCUUACGACCAGGGCUACACACGUGCUACAAUGGCAUAUACAAAGAGAAGCGACCUCGCGAGAGCAAGCGGACCUCAUAAAGUAUGUCGUAGUCCGGAUUGGAGUCUGCAACUCGACUCCAUGAAGUCGGAAUCGCUAGUAAUCGUAGAUCAGAAUGCUACGGUGAAUACGUUCCCGGGCCUUGUACACACCGCCCGUCACACCAUGGGAGUGGGUUGCAAAAGAAGUAGGUAGCUUAACCUUCGGGAGGGCGCUUACCACUUUGUGAUUCAUGACUGGGGUGAAGUCGUAACAAGGUAACCGUAGGGGAACCUGCGGUUG